RNAcentral lists this long non-coding RNA (425 nucleotides) under Carica papaya (papaya). RNAcentral describes it as "long non-coding RNA (CPAP_LNC003477)". Lineage: Eukaryota; Viridiplantae; Streptophyta; Magnoliopsida; Brassicales; Caricaceae. The record is from RNAcentral.
CACAUCAGCUCGUGCACAGGCGGGCCAUCCAAGUGUCACCUCACGCGCGGACAAGCGCCGCACACUGUGUGCACGCUGUCCAUGCAGCAAGCCUGCGCGAAUAGGCCCUGUGUGCCUGGGGCUUACAUGAAGUAGGCCUGUGCGCGCAUAGGCUAGCCCCUGUGCACCUGCAGGCUAACCUGCAGUGCGCUGGUCGAGGCAUUGCCACCUCGGGCUCUGUGCCAUCGCUGCCUCGGAUGGCGCACUGCCAUCGCCAGUGGAGGAGGCCCUCUUUCCUAGUUUUUCAUGCCGAGCAUCUUUUUCUCCUUUCUCUUCACUGGAUUUUGCCAAGACGGUUCCAAAACUCUAUAAAUUGCCCUCCCCCUUCCCUUCCUCUCCACACUUUCGUUCUUCCAUUUUUCAAAGGUUGAGAGAAUGAGAGAGAG